GGGGGUGAAAUUGGCUUCGACGGGGGUAUGGAACUAGGAGUAGCCAGGCGUGUUUUGUUUAGUUUCACGUAAAAAAGCUGAACACUAAAUAUAAUUGCAGACGAAAAUUACGCAUUAGCUGCCUAAUAUAGCAGUUGCCUUCCUCUAGUAGUCCCGCCUAUUAGAGUGUAAGGUCCAUUAUCUGCGGGGAACUACUACUGGGAUGCUUCGACCUGUAGUAGACUAAUUGAAGCUAGCCAAUUAAAAAGCUUGUUGUUGAGCGUUUUAUGAGGCGAAUUUUAAAGCAGCAACUAUCCUGGUAGAAGCUCGUGGGGAAGUGCUUUCGGACGAGGGUUCGACUCCCUCCACCUCCACCA
This 356-nucleotide transfer-messenger RNA is filed under the name Sporosalibacterium faouarense. RNAcentral's name for it is "Standard tmRNA". It matches the Rfam family "transfer-messenger RNA". Rfam says of the family: Bacterial tmRNA, also known as 10Sa RNA or SsrA, is named for its dual tRNA and mRNA-like properties. Its role is to liberate the mRNA from a stalled ribosome. RNAcentral also lists the same sequence under 1 other name. The record is from RNAcentral. Lineage: Bacteria; Bacillati; Bacillota; Tissierellia; Tissierellales; Thermohalobacteraceae.